UACGUAGGGGGCAAGCGUUGUCCGGAUUUAUUGGGCGUAAAGAGCGUGUAGGCGGCUUGACACGUCUGCUGUGAAAACUCGAGGCUCAACCUCGAGAUGUCGGCGGAAACCGUCUGGCUAGAGUCCGGAAGAGGAGAGUGGAAUUCCUGGUGUAGCGGUGAAAUGCGCAGAUAUCAGGAGGAAUACCGGUGGCGAAGGCGGCAUCCUGGACCGACAUUGACGCUGAACGGCGAAAGCUAGGGGAGCAAACGGG
This 253-nucleotide ribosomal RNA is filed under the name uncultured bacterium. RNAcentral describes it as "partial 16S ribosomal RNA". It matches the Rfam family "Bacterial small subunit ribosomal RNA", at positions 524 to 776 of the family's 1533-position model. The record is from RNAcentral.